CCCUACGGGGCGCUCGAAUGGUGCAAGUUUUUUGCAAACGCCCCCCUCCCUCCUGAAGACAAUUCAGUGAUUAUAACCAACGGGGGCGGGAUCGGCGUUCUGGCGACGGACGCCUGCGAGAAAUACGGCGUCAAGCUCUAUGACGACUAUGAGAAGAUGAAAGAGACCUUUUCGGGGAUGAUGCCCUCUUUCGGGUCGGCGAAAAAUCCGAUCGAUCUCACGGGCGAGGCGACGUCAAAUCACUAGCUGGGGGCCUUCAAGGCCUCCCUCCAGAGCCCGGAGAUCCAUGCUGCGAUCGCCCUUUACUGCGAGACGGCCGUCUUCGAUAUCGAGAAUUUUACGCCGGUGAUUGAGCAGUAUUACCAUUGGUUCAAAGAGGCGAACAAACCCAUCGUCUUCUGUUUGGCGGGGGGGC
Molecule: ribosomal RNA, 415 nt
Filed under: uncultured prokaryote
Description: partial 16S ribosomal RNA
Source: RNAcentral